Molecule: transfer RNA, 73 nt
Filed under: Gammaproteobacteria bacterium
Lineage: Bacteria; Pseudomonadati; Pseudomonadota; Gammaproteobacteria
Description: tRNA-Thr
Rfam family: tRNA
About the family: Transfer RNA (tRNA) molecules are approximately 80 nucleotides in length.
Source: RNAcentral
GCCGGAAUAGCUCAGUUGGUAGAGCAGGACUUUCGUAAAGUCAAGGUCGGUGGUUCGAUUCCUCCUUCCGGCA